UAUUUGCUACGCGGUUCGUGAGAUAACUAUUCCUGGCGCCAUAGCAAUUCAAUAGGGAGCCGACGCUGUUUUAGACCGUGGUCUUCAUCAUUUGGCACCCACCUAAAUAUUAGGAGCCGAGGAUUGCAAAAUCCACGGCCGUGUGGCAAUUAA
This 153-nucleotide non-coding RNA is filed under the name Rhodobiaceae bacterium. RNAcentral's name for it is "6S RNA". It matches the Rfam family "6S / SsrS RNA". Rfam says of the family: E. coli 6S RNA was the first non coding RNA to be sequenced, but its function was unknown until recently. It consists of 184 nucleotides that fold into an extended hairpin structure with a large single-stranded internal bulge. Lineage: Bacteria; Pseudomonadati; Pseudomonadota; Alphaproteobacteria; Hyphomicrobiales; Rhodobiaceae. The record is from RNAcentral.